GACGAACGCUGGCGGCGUGCUUAACACAUGCAAGUCGAACGAAGAGCGAUGGAAGCUUGCUUCUAUCAAUCUUAGUGGCGAACGGGUGAGUAACGCGUAAUCAACCUGCCCUUCAGAGGGGGACAACAGUUGGAAACGACUGCUAAUACCGCAUACGAUCUAAUCUCGGCAUCGAGGAAAGAUGAAAGGUGGCCUCUAUUUAUAAGCUAUCACUGAAGGAGGGGAUUGCGUCUGAUUAGCUAGUUGGGGGGGUAACGGCCCACCAAGGCGAUGAUCAGUAGGCGGGCGGAGAGGAAGACGGGCCAAAUUGGGACGGGGACAGGGCCCAAUGGUAAGGGGGAGGAGGAAGGGGGGAUCCUGCAGAAAGGGAAGAAGGUCUAGGGGGGGACCGCCGGGUGGGGAAGGACGGCCUUCGGGUUGAAAGGAUUUGUUAAUGGGGAGGAAAGGCCUUUUGGCGAAAGGUUAGAGGGAUGGGCGGUACAGGAAAAGAAAGCCACGGCAAACUACGUG
RNAcentral lists this ribosomal RNA (510 nucleotides) under uncultured bacterium. RNAcentral describes it as "partial 16S ribosomal RNA". It matches the Rfam family "Bacterial small subunit ribosomal RNA", at positions 28 to 507 of the family's 1533-position model. The record is from RNAcentral.